UAAUAGCCAACUUUUGUUAAAGUUUUCUGUCAGACACAGGAAUUAAUGAAGAAUUCUCAUGCCAAUCUUGUGAGGUAGUUAUCAUCAUUAGCCCCAUUUUACAGAUGAAGAGACUGAGGGAGGAGGUUGCACAGCCAGGAUUUGAACUGAGACCCCAGACUCUUCACACCCCCUUACCCCGCUCAGCCUUCCCCAGGAUGAGGAAACUGAGGCACAGAGAGGUUAGGCAACUUGCCCAAGAUCACACACCUAAGAAGUGAAAGAUCAGGGAAUUCCAACCCAGUGGAAUUUUCCAGAGGCUGCAUGAUGUGCAACAUAUUAUAAUGCAGAAGCAGAUAUGAGAAUCCAGUUGUCUAUGCAGCCAGACAUUAAAGAGAUUUGUCAACUUGUAAAACGUUGUCACUCUUCUCACUUUUUUGGACAAUCUACUUAUUUUUCAUAAAAAUGUUUUGUUUAUAUGAACAUGUAAUGGGUUUAUUAUUGUUUUAAAGAUAGGUUAAUAAAUAAAUUAAAAAUGUCUCCAUUUUAAUUUCUAAUAUAGUAAAUACCAAUUGAUAAUAGCCCACAUCAACAAAAUCUCUUUGCAGUCCUCAAUACUUUUUUUGAAUGUUUCAUCUUGAGAUUAUUGUAGGUUCACAUGCAGUUGUAAGAAAUAAUAGAGGUCCUGUAUACCCUUCACCCAGCUUACCCCCAAUGGUAGCAUCUUGUAUAACUUUAGUGCAUAUCACAACCAGGAAAUUGACAUUCAUACAAUCCACUCAUCUUAUCCAGAUUUCACCAGUUUUACAUUCACUUGUGUGUGUGUGUGCAUGUUUAAUUCUAUGCAACUGUAUCACGUGUAGAUUUGUGUGUCUACCACCACAGUCAAGACACAGAAUGAGUCCAUCACAAGGAUCCCUCAUGCUACCCUUUUGUAGCCACAGCGACCUCCUUGUCUCUCCUCUCCUAACCCCUGUUCUCCCUCUCCACAAUUUUGUCAUUUCAAUAAUGUUAU
Diceros bicornis minor is the source of this 994-nucleotide long non-coding RNA. RefSeq lists it as uncharacterized. NCBI's taxonomy places the organism in Eukaryota, Metazoa, Chordata, Mammalia, Perissodactyla, Rhinocerotidae. The record is from RefSeq and is a predicted model, not a curated record. The transcript has 3 exons.